Molecule: ribosomal RNA, 429 nt
Filed under: bacterium
Lineage: Bacteria
Description: partial 16S ribosomal RNA
Rfam family: Bacterial small subunit ribosomal RNA
Source: RNAcentral
UAUGGAAUCUUCGGCAAUGGGGGCAACCCUGACCGAGCAACGCCGCGUGAGUGAAGAAGGUUUUCGGAUCGUAAAGCUCUGUUGUAAGAGAAGAACGUGUGUGAGAGUGGAAAGUUCACACAGUGACGGUAACUUACCAGAAAGGGACGGCUAACUACGUGCCAGCAGCCGCGGUAAUACGUAGGUCCCGAGCGUUGUCCGGAUUUAUUGGGCGUAAAGCGAGCGCAGGCGGUUUAAUAAGUCUGAAGUUAAAGGCAGUGGCUUAACCAUUGUUCGCUUUGGAAACUGUUAAACUUGAGUGCAGAAGGGGAGAGUGGAAUUCCAUGUGUAGCGGUGAAAUGCGUAGAUAUAUGGAGGAACACCGGUGGCGAAAGCGGCUCUCUGGUCUGUAACUGACGCUGAGGCUCGAAAGCGUGGGGAGCAAACAGG